This 252-nucleotide ribosomal RNA is filed under the name uncultured bacterium. RNAcentral describes it as "partial 16S ribosomal RNA". It matches the Rfam family "Bacterial small subunit ribosomal RNA", at positions 524 to 776 of the family's 1533-position model. The record is from RNAcentral.
CACGUAGGGUGCGAGCGUUGUCCGGAAUUAUUGGGCGUAAAGAGCUCGUAGGCGGUGUGUCGCGUCGGCCGUGAAACCUGCAGCUUAACUGUGGCUUGCGGUCGAUACGGGCAUCACUGGAGUUCGGCAGGGGAGACUGGAAUUCCUGGUGUAGCGGUGAAAUGCGCAGAUAUCAGGAGGAACACCGGUGGCGAAGGCGGGUCUCUGGGCCGAAACUGACGCUGAGGAGCGAAAGCUAGGGUAGCGAACGGG